GGAUAACUACUGGAAACGGUAGCUAAUACCUCAUACUCCUUUUAUGGUAAGCAUAAAAGGGAAAUGUUUUUUCGCUGAAGGAUGAGACUAUAUGAUAUCAGGUAGUUGGUGGGGUAAGAGCCUACCAAGCCAAUGACAUCUAACUGGUCUGAGAGGAUGAUCAGUCACACUGGAACUGAGACACGGUCCAGACUCCUACGGGAGGCAGCAGUGGGGAAUAUUGCACAAUGGGGGGAACCCUGAUGCAGCAACGCCGCGUGGAGGAUGACACAUUUCGGUGCGUAAACUCCUUUUAUAUGGGAAGAUAAUGACGGUACCAUAUGAAUAAGCACCGGCUAACUCCGUGCCAGCAGCCGCGGUAAUACGGAGGGUGCAAGCGUUACUCGGAAUCACUGGGCGUAAAGCGCAUGCAGGCGGCUUUGUAAGUUGGAAGUAAAAUCCACUGGCUUAACCAGUGAACUGCUUCCAAAACUACUUAGCUAGAGUCUGGGAGGGGAAGAUGGAAUUAGUAGUGUAGGGGUAAAAUCCGUAGAGAUUACUAGGAAUACCAAAAGCGAAGGCGAUCUUCUGGAACAGUACUGACGCUGAGAUGCGAAAGCGUGGGGAGCAAACAGGAUUAGAUACCCUGGUAGUCCACGCAGUAAACGAUGAAUGUUAGUCGUCGGUAUGCAAGUCAUAUCGGUGAUGCAGUUAACACAUUAAACAUUCCGCCUGGGGAGUACGGUCGCAAGAUUAAAACUCAAAGGAAUAGACGGGGACCCGCACAAGUGGUGGAGCAUGUGGUUUAAUUCGAAGAUACGCGAAGAACCUUACCUAGCCUUGACAUUGAAAGAUACUAUAGAGAUAUGGUAGUGCCCUUUUGGGAGCUUGAAAACAGGUGCUGCACGGCUGUCGUCAGCUCGUGUCGUGAGAUGUUGGGUUAAGUCCCGCAACGAGCCGCACCCUCGUCCCUAGUUACUAACGGUUCGGCCAAGGACUUUAUUGGAACUGCCUUCUUAAGGAGGAGGAAGGUGAGGACAACUCCAAGUCUCCUGGCCCUUACGGUAAGGGUACACCCGGCUUAAAGGGUUAGAAAUGGAAAAGGAACCCCCGGAGGGGAGCAACUUUAAACCUAUUCCCCUUCGGGAAGGACUUCGCCCCCCGGCCUUUGAAGGGGAACCCAAAAACUGAAAAACAAAGGCCCGGGGAAAAUCUCCCGGCUUUGUUCCCCCCCCCCCCCACCGGGGGGGUAUUCCCCCACGGGGGAAAUAUUUGUCCCCUCCCGGGAAAAAAAUGGGGGGAUAAAAAAAAAAGGGGGAUCCCCCCUCCGGGCUUUUUUAAAAACACAACUAACCGGGUAUAUUUUUUUUUGUUG
RNAcentral lists this ribosomal RNA (1354 nucleotides) under uncultured Campylobacterota bacterium. Its description in RNAcentral is "bacterial SSU rRNA". It matches the Rfam family "Bacterial small subunit ribosomal RNA". The record is from RNAcentral. Lineage: Bacteria; Pseudomonadati; Campylobacterota.